RNAcentral lists this transfer RNA (56 nucleotides) under Diekeana admirabilis. RNAcentral describes it as "Epilachna admirabilis tRNA-Ser". The record is from RNAcentral. Lineage: Eukaryota; Metazoa; Arthropoda; Insecta; Coleoptera; Coccinellidae.
GAAAUAUAAAAAAUUAAGCUUCUAACUUAAAAUAUAGCAAUUAUGUUAAUAUUUCU